CCUGGAUGGCCCCAUGUUCUCUUGGGAGCUCCAUCUGGGUAGCUGUGGUGAUUCCUGUGGCUGGAUAGGACACAGGGGACACAGAGGACAUUGCUUUCUGCCAGAGGAGAUGCCAUGACUGGAUCUCCACAUGAGUGGGUCACAACAACUGGUUGAAGAGGCAGUGACAGUGCCCUCCCUGCAGGCCCUCACAAACAAACUGCUGUGCCAUGCCCUGGCUGCCAUGCUGCAGCCUGUUAGCCUGCCCUGGUCCCUCAUGCUCCUCUGCUACACUAUGGGACAUGCCUGCACUGGAGCUGACCACCUUGAAACCUUCUUCACUUGGUAGUGCUGGAAGUCACUCAGUGUCUCAGGAGUAUGGCUGAUGUGAAGACUCAUACAUAAUACUUCUUUGUCAAGCCCACAGUGUGGCAGGCCAGGGCUCCUGCAGAAGUCCAGCAGAUGUGUCUCCUGGCAGAAAAUCAGCUGAGAUAAUGAGAAAAGGCUUCAACUUCCAUAUGCUGGUAUCAGCCCAGAUUUAAUGUGCUCCUCUGAGUGCUUCUCUUCGUCAAAAUUUCUGUAGCACUCUGGCAGGUUUUCUCAACCCCUUCAAGAGAAGAUGCUCACGGAAAGGCUGCUGGUCUAUAAUUACUCUGCUGUGUCUGCUUUCCUGCUCCUUUCCCAUCAGCCCUGAUGAGCUUAAAUAGAAGUUAUAUUCUGUAUUUUCCCUCACCUCUCAGUGGCCAAUAUUAGUGAAUACAUUUGAAUGUAUGCUUGUUGCUAAGAAAUGUGGCCCUGGCUGCCUUUUGGAAAAAUUAUGACUAUGUUAUAGAUCCAAAACCUAGAAGAGCUUGGGUUUUAUGAGGAAUACCAGUAGGAGACCUAAGUAUUCCUCUUACAUGAUGGUUAUAUAGGAUGGAGUUCAAGUCUUCACAGGCAGAUGGGCAGCGAGAUGCAGGUGACAUAAACAGAAUGCAAAUACAGAAGGAAAUCUGGUGGAGCUUAGGUUGCUUCCAACUAUACCAGUUUCUUCUAGUUAUC
Long non-coding RNA from Cygnus olor (mute swan), 1020 nucleotides. RefSeq lists it as uncharacterized. NCBI's taxonomy places the organism in Eukaryota, Metazoa, Chordata, Aves, Anseriformes, Anatidae. The transcript has 3 exons. The record is from RefSeq and is a predicted model, not a curated record.